AGCGAACGCUGGCGGCAGGCUUAACACAUGCAAGUCGAGCGGGCAUCCUUGUGGUGUCAGCGGCAGACGGGUGAGUAACGCGUGGGAACGUGCCCUUCGGUUCGGAAUAACUCAGGGAAACUUGAGCUAAUACCGGAUACGUGCGAGAGCAGAAAGGUUUAUCUGCCGAAGGAUCGGCCCGCGUCUGGUUAGCUAGUUGGUGAGGUUACGGCUCACCAAGGCGACGCUCAGUAGCUGGUCUGAGAGGAUGAUCAGCCACACUGGGACUGAGACACGGCCCAGACUCCUACGGGAGGGAGCAGUGGGGAAUAUUGGACAAUGGGGGCAACCCUGAUCCAGCCAUGCCGCGUGAGUGAGGACGGCCUUAGGGUUGUAAAGCUCUUUGCUCCGGGACGAUAAUGACGGUACCGGAGGAAUAAGCCCCGGCUAACUUCGUG
Molecule: ribosomal RNA, 437 nt
Filed under: uncultured bacterium
Lineage: Bacteria
Description: partial 16S ribosomal RNA
Rfam family: Bacterial small subunit ribosomal RNA
Source: RNAcentral